Molecule: transfer RNA, 73 nt
Filed under: Mus musculus (house mouse)
Lineage: Eukaryota; Metazoa; Chordata; Mammalia; Rodentia; Muridae
Description: tRNA-Gly
Source: RNAcentral
GGUGAGAUGGCUCAGCGGUUAAAAGCACUGACUGCCUUUCCAGAGUUCAUGAGUUCAAAUCUCAGUAUCCACA